GAUGAACGCUGGCGGCGUGCCUAAUACAUGCGAGUCGAGCGAACAGAUGAGGAGCUUGCUCCUCUGACGUUAGCGGCGGACGGGUGAGUAACACGUGGAUAACCUACCUAUAAGACUGGGAUAACUUCGGGAAACCGGAGCUAAUACCGGAUAAUAUAUUGAACCACAUGGUUCAAUAGUGAAAGACGGUUUUGCUGUCACUUAUAGAUGGAUCCGCGCCGCAUUAGCUAGUUGGUAAGGUAACGGCUUACCAAGGCAACGAUGCGUAGCCGACCUGAGAGGGUGAUCGGCCACACUGGAACUGAGACACGGUCCAGACUCCUACGGGAGGCAGCAGUAGGGAAUCUUCCGCAAUGGGCGAAAGCCUGGCGGAGCAACGCCGCGUGAGUGAUGAAGGUCUUCGGAUCGUAAAACUCUGUUAUUAGGGAAGAACAAAUGUGUAAGUAACUAUGCACGUCUUGACGGUACCUAAUCAGAAAGCCACGGCUAACUACGUG
This 497-nucleotide ribosomal RNA is filed under the name uncultured bacterium. RNAcentral's name for it is "partial 16S ribosomal RNA". It matches the Rfam family "Bacterial small subunit ribosomal RNA", at positions 28 to 507 of the family's 1533-position model. The record is from RNAcentral.